Molecule: unclassified non-coding RNA, 201 nt
Filed under: Hevea brasiliensis (rubber tree)
Lineage: Eukaryota; Viridiplantae; Streptophyta; Magnoliopsida; Malpighiales; Euphorbiaceae
Source: RNAcentral
CUACGAUUUAGAGAUGAAUCUCUUACAUUCAAGGUUGCUGAGACUCCUCAGGAAAGUGCGGAGGAAAUUGAAACAUAUGCGCGAUAUAAAUAUCCAACCAUGAGUAAAACUCAGGGAAAUUUCAAGCUCCGUGUGAUAGAAGGUGAAUUUACUGAUUCACAGAUUAUUGUGAUGCUCGGUGAAAAUGGAACAGGGAAGACA